AUUCCAGAGGUGGAGGAGGAUGGAAAAGAACCAUCAAUGGCCUCCAGCAGUGUGACUGGAGAUGACCUGCAACACGAGGAAGCAGAACGUGUCCUCCAGGCCUCCCAGGGUGAAGACCACAAGGAUUCCUUUGGUGUCUGUGAGGCUGGUGACACCCAGCAGCCUCUCGGUACCACUGCUGCCCUGAUAGAUGGGGUUGAGGACCCUUCUGCAGAGGGCCCUGAAGAUCAAACUCACUCUGCGGAGGACACCCUGGAGCCAGCAGCCCCAAGGUUUAUCGUUGAAGAGCUGAACUUCAAUUCAAAGCCUGUAGAGCAGUUUCAGAAGUGGAGAUCCAUCCUGUUCGACCUGCGCCAGACUCUGAAGGACCUGCUGACCCAGGGUGGACCUGCGAGUCACCUGGAGCAGAGCCACCCAAAGCACCGUGCAGAGUGGGGCAAGCGGGUCCAGAACCUCGGCCUCCAGCUCGGGCCAGGGCACCACUCUGAUGGAGAAGUGGAGGAGGAUAUGGACUCCAGUGUUGAGCUGCGUGAGGAGGAAGUGGAUGUCUUAUCGGAGUCAGUGGCGGAACUGUCCUUCCUUGGUUCUGGGCCGGCCUUUCCACCAUCUCCACAGGAACAUCACCUGAACACCGCCGCCCCUGUGGAUGAUCCUGAAGCGAGCCCUAUAGGCCAGGAAACCAAAGCUGAAGACACUGGGAGAGCACAGGAGCAGAAGGCAAGCAAAGUGCUCGGAUUUGCAAUGGAGCUUCAGGCCCAAAUGUGGACACACUUACGGACAACGUUCCACAAAUGGAGGGACACCAUCCUCUUCCUCCGCUGCAGCAUUAGGGGCCUGCUGUCCCAGAAGGACCCUGUGAGAUGUGAGGGGCAGAGCCACCAGUUCCAUGAGGAGUGGCGCAUGGCGGCCAAGCGCCUCGCCCUCCAACUCUGCCCAGCUCCCUGCCUGGCAGCCUGUCCCCAAGGGCUUCCCAGAGGACCCUUCAGCCACCAGCAGUCCAAGGAGCCCAGGGGCUCGUGCAUCCCUGGGAAGCUCUGUGUGGGAGCCCAGCUGGGUCAGCGCCCUGAGCAUGGAUCUGACACAGCGGCCGUGAGCCUUUCCCCCUCCGCCCCCCGCAUGGUCGCAGCCCACAGCGAUGCUGGAAAGCCGUGGCUGCUCUCGCCAGAGCUGAAUGUGGAGGUAUCACGUGGAAGGAAGAUUCCUCCCAAGGCAGAGGGUGAAGCGAUUUUAGAGGCAAAUGACACCACACUUGGGACUCAGUCCAUUGGCCCCUCUGAGCCCGUGGCCGCCCUGAAGCAGACUAUGAGCCACGGUUCUGGCAGCGGAGCAUGGCCUGCAGACGCCCCUGCUCUCAGGCUUUUGGUGCAGAGGGCCCUCCUGCUCCAGCCAAGAAAGAUGCUGCUCAUUUAAGGUGAUUGAGCACCAAGGCAACCUCCUGUGCUCUUCCAUGACAUCGAGACAAUAAAUACCAUCAGAACCCAAGAGCCCUCCUGGGUGAGAACUGCAUUCACAACCGGCAGCAGGACCUGAUGUUUGUUUGUUACUUUGUUGUAUUAUUUUGCACAUAUUUAUUUAUUUUAUUUUAAAGUUAAAAUAAAAUUUCAAAACACAUCUGUGGAUAUCAUUUGAGAAAGUUCCAGUGUUUCACUUCCAGUUUCCUCUACCUCAUUGUGCUCUGGGCUCGUCCUGGGUGGGAUGUGGGUCUGGGGUUACAUCUUGCUUCUGCAUGUUGUCAUCUCUAUUUUUUUCUUUUUAUGCUUUCAUUCAUUUUCUGUGUUUCUGUGUGCCGAUUUCUCAUGGUAGAUAGCUUUAUCACUAUCAAGGCUUUCCCAGAAGAUGUCUGUUCUUUAGAGAUGUCUUAUAAAUAUAGGUGGUUCUUUGUAUCUCUCUGAAAACCCACCUUCCCAGUUUGUUAAGGAGGAUAAGUUUUCUGUUUGGCUCAUUGCCCAAUGCUGUGGUCCUGAACUAGGGUGAUGAUUACAACUCCAUACAAUCACAGUGUUAUCCUAUGAGGGAGAAAAGCUGAUUAUAAUAUGCAUGUCAUCAUGGC
Molecule: long non-coding RNA, 2050 nt
Organism: Chinchilla lanigera (long-tailed chinchilla)
Lineage: Eukaryota; Metazoa; Chordata; Mammalia; Rodentia; Chinchillidae
Source: Ensembl